Molecule: long non-coding RNA, 2189 nt
Organism: Cairina moschata (Muscovy duck)
Lineage: Eukaryota; Metazoa; Chordata; Aves; Anseriformes; Anatidae
Source: Ensembl
UCAACUGUGAUACAAACGCCAUGGUGGUGAGAAAACUAAAACAGGUUUGAUGGAUCUUCCUCUAAAGUUAAUUCCAAACUACUGCCCAUCUGGCCUGCUUUUUGGAGAGCUGAACCCAGCUUUUAGGAGUAACUCAGUGAAGUCUUGCACUUUUUUGACCCAUACAAGGGAGACAGUUCCAUUCUUGGUGUGGGAAGGUCCUGUCUACCUCUGAGGCUGCACCCACACUGCUCAACCCAGGGCUGGGGCUCCUUUAGCCUUUCUGUCCCUGAGUAAUUGCUCUUUAUUUAUUUAUUUAUUUAUUAUCAUUUUUUAAAAUAUAUCUCCUUUUUCCCAUUCAGGUUGCCCCAGUGAAGAAGAGCUGGUGAGAGGAGGCCUCACCUGGUACUGGACUGCUUGGCAUGAAAAUGACAAUACACUGUUGUUAUUUAGUGCACCUGAUGUGAUAGUCCUUACAGCCGUUCUUUGCUUCAGUCGUUUACAAGCCCUGAUUUUAGUCCAAAACAAGCUUCCUUGAAAUAAAAUAAUCAUUUUCCAGUCUUCCUGUAGAAGCCAAAAAUAUUUUAAGUUGGCCUGGUCUGGCCUAAACACAAGGUGGGGAGGGGGUUGGUAUGUUGGGGACAUUUUAGUAAUGAGAGGAAGAAUGUGAAAGGAAGGAUUAAACCCGGUGUUUUAUGUGUAUUCAUUGAGUCAAUUUAUAAGGUGCCUUUUGCAAAAUAUCUUGAGUGCUGCAUAAAAAACCACAAAGCAAAAUAUUUGAAAAAUCUGGAUGCAAAGCCAACACGUCCCAGAGUACAGCCAGGCAGCGGAGGAGAACCUGGCACCAGGCGAAGUUCUCUAACCACUGGGCACCAGCAGAAGGACAUCCGUGGCUGUGGGGUGAGUCUUGGAAGAGAGGUGGUGAUAAGAAUCAUGAAUCCCUGUCUUCGUUGGGAUCCUGACUGAGAAGCACGGGGCAGCAGCACCCACAUGGUGUGAGAAAGGCAGCACCACCUGGCUUUCUGUCGCCUGGCUUUCAGGUAAUAUUUAGAGACCGUCCUUGCCUUGAGGACUUUAUUAGCCAAGAGCAGAGCUGAUUUACAGCCUGAUUUCUUUAGAAGCAUUUGUGUGCCCAGAGCAGAGCGAUACUUGUGUGGAAGAUGUUAGGCUAGGGGCUGAUACUUGGCACUGCUGCAAAGCAUUGCCGCAGGAGCUGGUUUGCAUGCAGGAGGAUUUGACCUUGAACUUUCUCCUGCAGUUCAAGCCAACAUCCUCUACCCUCUAGGCCUGAAAAAUGUUCCUCCCCCUUGUUUUAAAAAUACAUUUGUUAUGUCUAAUAUAUCUGGCCAGAGCACUGCUACAGACUUUUACCCGCAAGAGCUAUGUGGGUCAGGGGUGGGGGGUGAUGUGAUUUCCGAGUGGCUCUAGCUGGGCUCACUGAAGUCCCCAGUGCACUUACACCAGCAGAGCUGUACUGCUCUGGGGACAGCUUCCUGCGGUCACAGGGACGGUGGGUUUACUGUCCCAGUGUGCAGCACAGCCCUGAGAGGCUUCCUGGGCUCACACUAGGCUGUAGCAACCCCAGGCUAGCUGCGACAUCCACUCUGCUUGUUUAAGAGUGGGUUUGAAAACUGGCUGAGAUACCCAGAGCUUGGACCUGCUCUGAUUCAAAGGACCUGCCAAGGAGAUCAGGCUCUGGCUGUCUGUCCAGCACCGGAGCAGUGCCUCAGAUCCACCCAUAGCAUGGGAACCAAGCCUUGUAUUUGAGCUGCAGGGCUCCAGACUUCAUGCAGGGCAUGUAUUCAUGCCUAACUAGCAUGGCUAGCAGACGAUCCCAUUUUGGGUACAAGCUCAGAUCAUGACCUCCGUGAUCCUAUGAGCUGGGGGUGCAACAGGGCACUGAAGCCGUGACAGGGGAGUUGUGCUGUCUGAGCUGGGUGCUGGGGCUGGAGUAUCUGGUCACCAGCUGGAGCAUCUCAGCACUUAGCUCCUGCAGCUCCCUGCCUGUGGGAUCAAGUGCCCAACCUCCUCCACCCUGCUGUCAGGUUUCACAGGGAAUGCCAGGACCCUGCCAGGUGCCUGACUGAGCCGUGACAUGCAUCCCUGUGCCCCAUCUCACCUGCUCCCCCAGUGGAGGAUGAUCUCUUGCAGUUCUUCCCAAUUCAGACCAAUGCAGUAAACUGGUUUACCAAGUACUUCAUGACAUUCAC